GGAAUAGACUCUGCAUUUUUUUGCAGUUAAUUUGUUCUGAUCCAAUCAGUGGACUUCAUUUCAGGAACUCAGGAAGCUUCUGGAAGUGGGAGUAUUUGCCCCAUUGUUGGUGAACGGAAGGGACUGGAUCAAGUUCCCACAGAGAGGAAGCAGCAGAGUCACGAUUCAGCCCAUCUGUCCGACCCACGCUGCUCCCUGACUCAGAUUUGGGGCCGCCCUCCUUGAAGUUCCAAGAUGCACGGACCCCAGGACCCUUUCCAAUUCCCUCCCUGUCACUAGGAGGGUGGCCGCCACAAAGGAAGGAUGAACGAGAAGUGGGAACAGGUGAGGAUGAGCCAGGGAAGUUACAAGGACAGACCUGCCGAAGUGACCUUCAGGAGAAGGCGGUGUCACUCAUCACAGAACAGGCACUUGCCCAGGAUUCGGAGAAGCUGAAAGCAGAUGCACAGGAGCUAGAGGCUGCAGGCUCGCUGUUGCCCCACACCAGCCAGGGCACCGUCUCGAAGUCGUUUCUGAUUAGAAGUUGACCUCAGAAAUAUGCUCGCAUCAUUUUGAAAACAUCUCCCAGCACCACAGAAACCGACGCAGAAUGGGAAAGGACACUGAGGGGACCAAGGCCAGGACCCGGGCCUUCCCACAAGGCUCUCAGGGUAUCGCUGGCCUGGAUCAAAGUUGGGAUGCGAUCACCGUCAUGACGCCGGAUACACUCAUGGACCUGGGCCAGCUGGGAGUGACAGGGAUGACUGUCACCAUCGUGGUUGUCAGCUAAUGUUACUGAGUCCUUACUACAGACCCUGCGGUUCUAAAGAGUCAUCCGUUCUUGCAGCAUCCUCUCAGGCAGGGACCAUUGGAGUUUGAGGUCCGAGUGGUGUUGUCAGGUACCAGUCUGGAGAGGGCAGGUCAGUGUGUAAGAUCAAUGCCCUCGGGUGGGACUACCUAGUGGGUAAAGUCAGUGGUCUCAUUAGGAACACAAACCCCCAGCUAAGCCUGCUCAGCCCUGAGGCAGAAGCUGUGAACCCAGCGAGGUGGGAGAGGGUGGCCAGAGGCAGUGAGCAGGGUAUGAGCAGGGUCCAAGGUCAGCGUUGGCAGGAAAGGGGAGCGGCUGGUGUGCAGUUGGCUGCUCAGGGGCCGAGGUCGACCCAAAGUUGUGGUUGACCAAGGACAUGGCUCUCCUUAUCGAUGCCAGAUGAUGUGCAGAAACAGGUGGGCCAUGAAGUGUUCAUUUCCCCAGGAGUCCAAAAGGUAGGUUUAAACUAGAGUGUGAAGGUCUGAUAGUAGCAAUGACGACGGAUACAGCAGGAGAGCCAUGGCCUCUUGCAUCUCUGCCUGGAGGAGAGGCCAGUGCCUAGAAAAGCAUGGAGGGCUGAGCUGGCCAUCCCUCCUGGGGGAGCAGCAACUCGGAUGGCACCCCUGAGUCUUGUGAGCGCUUCUGUGGGGUGUUUAAUUAUUGAUAAACA
Molecule: non-coding RNA, 1457 nt
Organism: Vicugna pacos (alpaca)
Lineage: Eukaryota; Metazoa; Chordata; Mammalia; Artiodactyla; Camelidae
Source: RefSeq, a predicted model, not a curated record